This 1347-nucleotide ribosomal RNA is filed under the name Triticum aestivum (bread wheat). RNAcentral's name for it is "partial small subunit ribosomal RNA". Lineage: Eukaryota; Viridiplantae; Streptophyta; Magnoliopsida; Poales; Poaceae. The record is from RNAcentral.
AUGAGGGUCAGAGAGUUGAUAAUAAUAUCAAGGUAUGUCACAAAAUUUCUAACUGUCUUCAUGUCAGAAUGUAUGCUAACCAUUUUUCAUUUUAACGUGCGAACUAGAAAACCUCGAAGAAUGUUGCUGCUAGUACAAAUGAAGUGCCAAAGUGUGUCUACAGCAACCCCAGCAAGAACCUUGCUGGGGAAUUUGAGGUAUGAAUUCCAUCUUGGUACAAUGUUUUUUUGUCAACCAUACUUAGUGCUAACUUGUCCAUCUGUACAGAAGGUAAAAAAAACACCUGUGGACCCCCACAAAGGAAAAACAGACAGAGAUGACGCUGUGGACUCAUUUGGUAAGCGUUUUAGGAGUGACAGCAAGAACUUACCCUCCCAAUCUGAGAAGGUGAAGAAAACAUAUGUACACCCCCAGAAGUUAAAGACUGAAAGAGACGAUAGCAAGAACUUACCCUCCGAAUAUGAGAAGGUCAAGCAUACGUCCAUGGAUGCCAUGGACUCCAUAGGGAGGCGUGUCAGACAUGACAGCCGGAAGAAAAAGAAGUCUUCACUCCUUCAGAGCGAGGAAUACGAAUUUUACACCCCCGCGCUCAGAAGGAAAAGAGCUCUAUCUCAACAGACACAUGACAGUAACGAUAUUAUGUACACACAGAAUAAGAAGAUGAAUCCCGGGAAAAGCAGCGCCCAGCAGCUAAAACAGCUCAAGGAGGACUUGAUCAAUUUUCAGGCAGAAACAGAUCGAGUUACACAGAAUAUAGUAGUUGACUAUGUAAACACUACUCCUGAGACCGCCAAGUUGGUGAAGAUCAAGGACAUACUUCUAACGCAGAAGUAUCUUAAAUGCCUGACAACACCAGAUCAUUCCUCCUUUGCAGCUUGGGUGGAUGACGAUGUACUCGAUGCGGCGUUUGAACUCCUACGCCUGGACGGACUAGAAGGUGUACGAGACCAUGGUACCGUGUAUGUCGAAAGGUCGACCAUUGUCAACAUCCUAAAGAGAGAUGGCACAGUCCCGAAUUGUACCUUGGAUGUUUUAAGCGGCAAAUCAGGCACUAAAUGUGGAGAUAACUACCUGAAGCAUGACAUGAUUUUCCUACCUUCAAAUAUUCCCAACCACCACUGGUUCCUGGCUGUUGUCAACUCCCAAAAGAGGGAGAUUCAAAUUCUGGACUCACUCCAAUCACGCAACAACCGCAAAGAAGUAAUUGCUGCGCUUCUUGGAAUGGAAACACAUAUUGAUAUAGCAGUGAUGGAAAAUAGAAUGCCAGGAAGUAGAUGGUCGGACACUCAAGUGGCUUCGUGGCCUAUCACAGACUAUGAAGUGCCACAGCAAAAAGAUGGGUGUUGA